RNAcentral lists this ribosomal RNA (497 nucleotides) under uncultured bacterium. Its description in RNAcentral is "partial 16S ribosomal RNA". It matches the Rfam family "Bacterial small subunit ribosomal RNA", at positions 28 to 507 of the family's 1533-position model. The record is from RNAcentral.
GAUGAACGCUGGCGGCGUGCCUAAUACAUGCAAGUCGAGCGAACGGACGAGAAGCUUGCUUCUCUGAUGUUAGCGGCGGACGGGUGAGUAACACGUGGAUAACCUACCUAUAAGACUGGGAUAACUUCGGGAAACCGGAGCUAAUACCGGAUAAUAUUUUGAACCGCAUGGUUCAAAAGUGAAAGACGGUCUUGCUGUCACUUAUAGAUGGAUCCGCGCUGCAUUAGCUAGUUGGUAAGGUAACGGCUUACCAAGGCAACGAUGCAUAGCCGACGUGAGAGGGGGAUCGGCCACACUGGAACUGAGACACGGUCCAGACUCCUGCGGGAGGCAGCAGAAGGGAAUCUUCCGCAAUGGGCGAAAGCCUGACGGAGCAACGCCGCGUGAGUGAUGAAGGUCUUCGGAUCGUAAAACUCGGUUAUUAGGGAAGAACAUAUGUGUAAGUAACUGUGCACAUCUUGACGGUACCUAAUCAGAAAGCCACGGCUAACUACGUG